UGGGGAAUAUUGCACAAUGGGGGAAACCCUGAUGCAGCGACGCCGCGUGAAGGAAGACGUAUUUCGGUAUGUAAACUUCUAUCAGCAAGGAAGAUGAUGACGGUACUUGACUAAGAAGCCCCGGCUAACUACGUGCCAGCAGCCGCGGUAAUACGUAGGGGGCAAGCGUUAUCCGGAUUUACUGGGUGUAAAGGGAGCGUAGGCGGCCAUGCAAGUCAGAAGUGAAAGCCCGGGGCUCAACUCCGGGACUGCUUUUGAAACUGUAAGGCUAGAUUGCCGGAGAGGUAAGCGGAAUUCCUAGUGUAGCGGUGAAAUGCGUAGAUAUUAGGAGGAACACCAGUGGCGAAGGCGGCUUACUGGACGGUGAAUGACGCUGAGGCUCGAAAGCGUGGGGAGCGAACAG
Molecule: ribosomal RNA, 403 nt
Filed under: uncultured bacterium
Lineage: Bacteria
Description: bacterial SSU rRNA
Rfam family: Bacterial small subunit ribosomal RNA
Source: RNAcentral